UAACGAUACUUUAGAUACCGGUAUUUUUCACCCAUUUUACCGUUAUAUUUUUUACCGGUAAAAACUCAGUUAACGUUAUUUUUAACGUUACUUAUCUAUACCGUUACUGUUAAUUGCUACUGUUAACGUUAUAGGUAACGAAAUUAUUACGCUCGUACAAUGUAAGAAAGAGACAGAUUAGAUUUGUAAUUUUCUUUAUUGGUUUUUGAAUUAUUACAGAAUACGCCGUUUGUUUAGUGUGCACAUAUGUGAUCUAUUUUUAAAACAGUGAUGGAAUAUGAAAUAAGCCGUUCGUUGUGUAUUAUGUGUAAUACUGUAUCCAUAUAGCUUUAGAAUUAGUGCAAUAUAAAUUGGAAGUACUUAAUUACAAUUACGUAAUUACACAUGCAUUAUUUAGAAGUUAAGUAUGAGUAGCUUUCUUAAAAGUCAACACGGACUGUUUUUGUAGACCAAUGAAAGAAGAACAAUUCUACCAUACAUUAUUUGUUACAUGUCAAAGUGUUUAUGCAGUGUUUUCGAUAAAACUUUUUUUUUUACAACUAGGUCGGCAAACUGGCACUAGUUACUUUCAGAUUUUCGGACUUAUACUUUUAAAAGUCUUAUUAAGACAUGAAGAUUUUUUAAGAUUUUUUUUCAACAAAUAUUAAAACCAGGUUAGCGAUUUCCGUAGAUUACAGCCCUGCAACACCAGCAGCAUCACAAGCGUUUUGUUUACCAUAUGUCUAUUGCUUAAUUUAUGCAUUUAAAAGUUCGCAAAACAAAUCCAGUCAAGGUCAGAUAAUAUAAAACUUGCGUAAACAUUAGAAAUCAAUAUGUGAAUUAGAUAGUAAGUAUAAUUAAAAAUUGUUAUGCAGAAACUAAACGUUAUAAACUUUUUCUUAAAUAAUAGAUCUAAUAAUUCCAAUGAUUGCUUUUAAAAGUUCAAUGAUUAUUUUUUGUAUAAACUUAUAAAGUCUGAUCGUCUCUUAUUGAAUAUCAUAUAUAUUAAUACCUACGCUAAGGUUUAAGAUGUUUGCCUCCCUUUUGGGAAAAAACCUCAUAGGUAAUUUCUCAACAUAAAUUAUGUAUCAUUUUAUUAUAGAUAAUUGCUUGCUCUACUGACAUCAACAACUAAAAAUUUAUGAUUGCUUUUGUUUUGUAAAUUAAUUAAUUAUUAAAAUUAUAUAGGUAUAUGACUGCUUUAAUUUUGAAACAAGGUCAACAUGAUUGACGGUCCGUAAUUUUUUUAUUGUUCAAUUUCAAAUCAAUUCACGUACCUAUAAUAAUACUUUUUUGUAAUUUUGUAAACUGAUAAUUAUUAUACUUAUUUAGUGCGAAUUAUUUGCACGGGUAUAUCUAGUAAAGGGUAUAAUACUACAAAGAUAAAAUUUACCAGGUGACUGUAGGUACUCGAACCGAAGCAGAAAUUAAUAAUAUGUAACCAAGAGCGGAUCCAGCAAGAAGUUAUAAUUUAAUUAUUAAUUUUAAUAAUAAUAUACACGUAAAAAGUAGAUAUUUUAAUUUUAAUGUAGGUAUGUAAGUACUGCACUUAAAAAUUAAAAUAAAUCCUAAAAAAAAAUAAUUAAAAUAACCCGUAAAAAUAUCUGAAUCCGCCCUUGUGGCUUGUAUGUAACCAUGCACUUGCAAAAGGAGGAAAUAUUUUAGAAGGUAUCCCGGAAAACAGCUUAUCAGAAUUUCUAAAUGACAGUAAUUGAAUCUUAUAUGCAUUGAUCUAUAAAAAACCUUUUAUUAUUAAUUUUUAUAUGAGUAUAUGUAACAGCUAUGAAAAAAUAAAUAAAACAGUUAGAUUUUAGUUGUUUUAUUUUUUAAUAAACAUACAAAUAUGUUAAUAUUAUAUAUAUACAUACAUAUACAUAAAGUAAUUAACAAGCUAAAUCUAAAAUAUUUAUUAUAAAUAUAUCUUAAUGUAUAAUUUGGAUAUAUUUUAUCUAUGUCUGAUGAUGAUGAUGAUGAUGAUUGAUGAUAUAAUUUGGAUAUAUUAUUAAAAUAUCCGCCAACCCGCAGUGGAGCAGCGUGGUGGAUUAAGCUCCAAUCAGGCAGUGGGAUGAUACAGACAAUGCGACAUGCGAAUGCAAGUAAAUAUAGUAAAUAACUAAUAAAUUUACCUGUAAAUAUUAUUUUGCUUAGUAAUGCUUUGUUUAACCGGCAAAUUGAUUUAAUUCGGUCUUUUUUAUUUGUCUUAAUUUUGAUUAAAUUUGUUUUUGUUUGUUUUGAUGUUUAAGUCUGAUUUUAAUUUUAUGUUAUUUAAUCUAUUCUAUUUUAAUUUUAAUUAUUUUGUUUGAUAUUUGUGUUUCAAUUUAUGAAAAUUAUAUGUAUUUACUGACUAAAUUUUGAUUAGCUUAAUUUAACUUGAUUGGAUUUUAUACGAUAUAAUAGGUUUUUAGUAUUAUUAAAUGUAAUGUAAAUUGAUGUCAUUUAAUUUGUUUUGUUAGAUUCAUAACAACUUGUUGGUUUUACUAAUUAAUUCAAAUUGAUGUAUCUCGUCUGGGCUUAGUUUAGUUUGAGUUCAUUUUAUGAAUUACUGGCGACCCGCCCCGGCUUCGAUCAAAACAAAAGAUAAACAACAAUUAUCAACAAAAAAAGAUAUGUACCUAUUCUAUUGAGUUCUUUUUUUGAACUGAAAUACUUAACCUUAAAGUUUGAUUUUCGAUAGUUAAAAAUACUUGCCCUAAUGAUAAAGUGCUUCAAACCAGAAGAAAUACAAUUGAUAAAUUAUGAUUUUAAUCUAAUCCUAUCCAACCUAGGUGACCGAUCUUAGCUUAGUAUUUUUAGUAAAUCGUGUUUUUUUGAAAUCAUAUUUAAAUACGGAUUACAUAUUGAUAAAAUAUGAAUAAUAUUUUCCGAUUUUACCGUAAUAAUAAUAAAAAUAUGAACUGGUUAUUUAAAUAAAAAAUCAUGAGUGCAAUUAGAAAAAAAAAGAAAAAACAAUCGAUCCUGGAGACAGGGGUUUGAACUCUGAUCUUCUAGAUCACUCCCGACCGGCCGACUUCCCACCGAGCUGUUACAACUUUAUUAACAAUUUUGAAAUUUACCUUCAUAUUAUAACAAUAUUGUAGCUAUUUUUCCAGUGCCUAAAAACCGGGAUAAAACGACAUUUUCUA
RNAcentral lists this unclassified non-coding RNA (3101 nucleotides) under Melitaea cinxia (Glanville fritillary). RNAcentral describes it as "misc RNA ENSMCXG00005002601.1". Lineage: Eukaryota; Metazoa; Arthropoda; Insecta; Lepidoptera; Nymphalidae. The record is from RNAcentral.